AUUUAAAUAGUUUAAAAAAAAUUUUAGUUUGUGGAACUAAAGAUAUGAUUGUCAUUUUAGAUA
This 63-nucleotide transfer RNA is filed under the name Staphylinidae sp. BMNH 1274145. RNAcentral's name for it is "tRNA-His". The record is from RNAcentral. Lineage: Eukaryota; Metazoa; Arthropoda; Insecta; Coleoptera; Staphylinidae.